CGGGACAACAUCCAAAGGGAUGCUAAUACCGGAUGUGACGCUCCUAUCGCAUGACGGGAGCGUGAAAGAUGGCCUCUACAUGUAAGCUAUCGCUAAAGGAUGGGCCUGCGUCUGAUUAGCUAGUUGGUAGUGUAACGGACAACCAAGGCGAUGAUCAGUAGCCGGUCUGAGAGGAUGAACGGCCACAUUGGGACUGAGACACGGCUCAG
Molecule: ribosomal RNA, 209 nt
Filed under: uncultured bacterium
Lineage: Bacteria
Description: partial 16S ribosomal RNA
Rfam family: Bacterial small subunit ribosomal RNA
Source: RNAcentral